This 384-nucleotide ribosomal RNA is filed under the name uncultured bacterium. RNAcentral describes it as "bacterial SSU rRNA". It matches the Rfam family "Bacterial small subunit ribosomal RNA", at positions 29 to 416 of the family's 1533-position model. The record is from RNAcentral.
AUUGGACGCUGGCGGAAUGCUUUACACAUGCAAGUCGAGCGGCAGCGCGGGGCAACCUGGCGGCGAGCGGCGAACGGGUGAGUAAUGCAUCGGAACGUACCCCGUCGUGGGGGAUAACUACCCGAAAGGGUAGCUAAUACCGCAUACGACCUGAGGGUGAAAGCGGGGGACCGAAAGGCCUCGCGCGAUGGGAGCGGCCGAUGCCGGAUUAGCUAGUUGGUAGGGUAAAGGCCUACCAAGGCGACGAUCCGUAGCUGGUCUGAGAGGACGACCAGCCACACUGGAACUGAGACACGGUCCAGACUCCUACGGGAGGCAGCAGUGGGGAAUUUUGGACAAUGGGCGAAAGCCUGAUCCAGCCAUUCCGCGUGAGUGAAGAAGGCC